UUCCCAAUACACACCCUUUUGAAUUCUUUUUGUUCCAAUAUCUUUUUAUACUUUCUCUAUCUUUCUUUCUCUAAUGCUGCAGAUCUGAGUCUUCCUCUUCUUCAAACUUCUCUCUUCCUAUUCUUUUUUCAUGUUUUUCUUAUGCUCUUUUAAUUCUUUCUUCCAACUUGAUUUACGAAAAUAAUUUAGGCGGUCUGUUGUUAUCACGGUGAUAUAUCUGUGGCGGAUACAACAUAUUUCUGGCGGUGAGUAUGGUGGUGGUCGGAAUUGAAAUGAUUGAUGUGUUUUACCGACGAUCUGGUGACGAUUGUGAUCUGACUGAAAUGUUUUACUGAUUUAUGUUUUGUGGAGUUAUCACAGUCAAGGUGUGAACAAGACAUUUUUCUGAAACUCUUGUUAUGGAAGCCCUCCAAAAGAUGGUGCUAGUGAAAUUUAGGCAUCUACUUGUGUUGAAGAAUGGAGAAGUUUUGGCUUUACUUGAUAUCACAAAGUGUUAUUGAUAAAGGUAAAGCAAAUGCAACAGCUUUUGAAGGAGUUGAAAAAUAUUGGGGAUCAACUAAUUUUGAUAAGUAGUGUAUUUUCAUUUUCAUGCUUAGCUCUUUGAAGAUAAUUGUGGCUUUCACAAUGUCUUAGAUCUCUUACUCUUCACUAUUUUCAUUUCUGCAUUAAUAGGUAAUAUAUUUCACUUUGUUUAAAAUCUAUUUGCUUCAACAUAAUGAAGGAUAACUCUCAGCUUCAUCAUCACAUAAUAGUUUUCAAAUACAUUUUUUAUGCAUAUUGUUCUGAUCUUCUUAUGUUUCUUGUAUUAUGAUAGAUAUGUCAAUUUAGAGAGAUGGUUCAUAUGAUUCUUUACUAUCCUUAUGAUUAUUUAUUCUUGAAUAUUUUUUAUGGAUCUUCUAUGUAUAUUUAUUUUCUAGAUCUAGAAAUUUAUGAUGAAAAAAAGAUUUACAACAUAAAGGGGAUAAAACAUGUUGGGAAAAAAUAAAGAAAAAUUGUUAUAACCAAUUAUAGAUUUUGACUAGAGGUUGAAGAUUUGACGAGAAUGUGAAUCUUUUGCUGGACACAAAGAUCUGGAAAUUUGUGAAGAAACUGUUGUGGAAGACCUGUUUGAGUCUAUCUCUAAUAGGAAAAUUUCGAUUUUCAUUGUGUUGGAUAACAAGUAGUUAUGAUCUUCUUCUAUAUCUGAUAUUAUAAUAGAUAUGUCAAUUUGCAUAGAUGAUUCUUACGAUUCUUUAUUUUUGAAUAGAUUUUGAUGGAUCUG
This is a long non-coding RNA of Lathyrus oleraceus (garden pea), 1261 nucleotides long. RefSeq lists it as uncharacterized. The transcript has 4 exons. The record is from RefSeq and is a predicted model, not a curated record. NCBI's taxonomy places the organism in Eukaryota, Viridiplantae, Streptophyta, Magnoliopsida, Fabales, Fabaceae.